RNAcentral lists this ribosomal RNA (548 nucleotides) under uncultured bacterium. RNAcentral describes it as "partial 16S ribosomal RNA". It matches the Rfam family "Bacterial small subunit ribosomal RNA", at positions 355 to 893 of the family's 1533-position model. The record is from RNAcentral.
UAGGGAAUCUUCGGCAACGGACGAAAGUCUGACCGAGCAACGCCGCGUGAGUGAAGAAGGUUUUCGGAUCGUAAAACUCUGUUGGUAGAGAAGAACGUUGGUGAGAGUGGAAAGCUCAUCAAGUGACGGUAACUACCCAGAAAGGGACGGCUAACUACGUGCCAGCAGCCGCGGUAAUACGUAGGUCCCGAGCGUUGUCCGGAUUUAUUGGGCGUAAAGCGAGCGCAGGUGGUUUAUUAAGUCUGGUGUAAAAGGCAGUGGCUCAACCAUUGUAUGCAUUGGAAACUGGUAGACCUGAGUGCAGGAGAGGAGAGUGGAAUUCCAUGUGUAGCGGUGAAAUGCGUAGAUAUAUGGAGGAACACCGGUGGCGAAAAGCGGCUCUCUGGCCUGUAACUGACACUGAGGCUCGAAAGCGUGGGGAGCAAACAGGAUUAGAUACCCUGGUAGUCCACGCCGUAAACGAUGAGUGCUAGAUGUAGGGAGCUAUAAGUUCUCUGUAUCGCAGCUAACGCAAUAAGCACUCCGCCUGGGGGAGUACGACCGCAAGG